UAGAGUGCGGCUAGGAUGCUUAUGGAAGCACGGAGGGCUCCCUGCUUCCACUUUGUUUUCGAUGUUCGGACUUUCGAAUCGACGAUCGGCUCCGUUAGACUUGAUCUAGAGUAUUUGAAGUAUCUAGAAAAUAAAUUUUGCGAUUUUUCGAUAUCAUUUGCCUAGUGAUCGAAGUGGCUCAAAAUCAACGGCUGAAAAUAAAAAUCUUACAAAAUAUGAUGAUAUGACAUUAAAAUUUUAUAUCAAAGUUAUUGAUCUUGUUUUAUAUGGUAUAAAAAAUUUUCUAUCAAAAUUUCAUGUGAUUUGGAUAUUUCUACACUGUUAAACCUGCAAUCGGUUUACCAAGACCAUUAAAAUUAUUAAUUUUGAGCCCCUUCGAUCACUAAGCAAAUGAUAUCGAAAAAUCACAAAAUUUAUUUUCUAGGCACUUCAAAUACUCUAGAUCAACUCUAGCGGAGCCGAUCGUCGAUUCGAAAGUCCGAACAUCGAAAACAACUUGGAAGCACGGAGGGCUCCGUGCUUCCAUAAGCAUACCAGCCCACUCUAUAUAUAUAUAUUAUAUAUAAUUAGGCUACUAUACUAUCUAUAGUACUGGAGCUCCGGUACUAUAGUCCUGUAUUCGAUCUUAGGGUGUUCAAAUUAUCGAUCCACACUGUUAAAUAUGAUUUAGGGUAUAUGAAGUUUUUAGAAAUAAAAUUUUAGUUUUUUUCGAUAUCGUUUACUUAGUAAAUAAAUUAUGUCAAAAUGCACGAUGAAAAUUGAAUAAUCUUCAAAAUUUGAGCAUAGGACUUUUAAAUUCAAGAUCAAGAAUGUUAACCUUAAUCUAGAUAGUUUAAAGUAUUUUCUAUCAAAAUUUGAAUAAAUUUAAAUUCUUCUACACCGUUAAACUCCAAACUUGCCAUAGUAGUCAUUGAAAAUUGACAAUUUUGAAAUGGUUUGAUCAUAAAGUAAACUAUGUCGAAAAAAUAUAUAAUUUAUUCUUAAGAACUUCAUAUACCCUAAAUCAGUUUUAACGGUGUGGAUUGUUGAUUUGAACACCCUAAGAUCGAAACGAGACUAUAGUAUCGGAGCCCCGGUAUUAUAGAUAGUAUAGGAGACUAGCUCUCUCUCUCUCUCUCUCUCUCUCUCUCUCUCUCUCUCUCUCUCUCUCUCUCUCUAUAUAUAUAUAUAA
RNAcentral lists this long non-coding RNA (1171 nucleotides) under Ananas comosus (pineapple). RNAcentral's name for it is "long non-coding RNA (ACOM_LNC038668)". Lineage: Eukaryota; Viridiplantae; Streptophyta; Magnoliopsida; Poales; Bromeliaceae. The record is from RNAcentral.